Molecule: ribosomal RNA, 253 nt
Filed under: uncultured bacterium
Lineage: Bacteria
Description: partial 16S ribosomal RNA
Rfam family: Bacterial small subunit ribosomal RNA
Source: RNAcentral
UACGGGGGGGGCAAGCGUUGUUCGGAAUUACUGGGCGUAAAGGGCUCGUAGGCGGCCAACUAAGUCAGACGUGAAAUCCCCAGGCUCAACCUGGGAACUGCGUCUGAUACUGGAUGGCUUGAAUCCGGGAGAGGGAUGCAGAAUUCCAGGUGUAGCGGUGAAAUGCGUAGAUAUCAGGAGGAACACCGAUGGCGAAGGCAGGUCUCUGGGCUGACACUGACGCUCAUGCACGAAAGCGUGGGGAGCAAACAGG